GGUAAAAUGGCUGAGGUAUAGGCAGUAAAUUGUAAAUUUAUAAACGAGGAUUCUCUUUUAUCA
Molecule: transfer RNA, 63 nt
Filed under: Curculionoidea sp. 19 KM-2017
Lineage: Eukaryota; Metazoa; Arthropoda; Insecta; Coleoptera
Description: tRNA-Tyr
Rfam family: tRNA
About the family: Transfer RNA (tRNA) molecules are approximately 80 nucleotides in length.
Source: RNAcentral